GUUAAAAAAGGGCACGCAUUAAUUUUGUAGUAGUUCAAAACAGAAAAUAAUUCGGUCCCGUCAAUAAAAGAGUUUUCACUUCAGUUAUGUAUGUAUAUAUCUUGCGACGACGACAGUAGAACGAUAUUUUUGUUCUGUAUUGUGAGAAAGUUUGAAGAUCAAAGGAUCAAGCGUAAUGUGUACUGUUAACUGGCGAAUAUCCAUUUUAUAUUAAAUGCAAAAAAUUGAAAACUUCAAGUGACUGCAGGACGGAGAUAGCAUAAUAAACCAUGAUAAAUUUGUGUUUGCAGACUUAUCCCCAGUGCCAGCAGUCAAAGAGCAGUGUCAUUUAUUUGUGGCAGAAACGAUGUUUACCCAGUCUAGCUAAAUUGUAAUUUUAAAGUAUAAUUAAUUUGUUCCUCUUCUCAAAGACCUCUUGCCAGUCGGAAUUCGGAUGCAAGUUUUACAAUAUGUAUUGCGGGUGCCGGGUAUUUCGCGCACUCGCUCACAUAUUUGCAAUAAUAAAAAGCCAAUCCAAGCAGACCGACCUAAAAUAAGAGCGACUGGCUUUUCCACGCAAUUUCAAAAAAUGUAUGGGCGUCAUUCAUCACACUAUUUUAUUUUGUCUUUGGUAUUACGUAUGUGAUGUGGGCCAAAUACACAAAUAUAAACCUAAUGUAUUAAGGAAA
Molecule: long non-coding RNA, 668 nt
Organism: Drosophila miranda
Lineage: Eukaryota; Metazoa; Arthropoda; Insecta; Diptera; Drosophilidae
Exons: 3
Source: RefSeq, a predicted model, not a curated record